This is a non-coding RNA of Camellia sinensis, 1143 nucleotides long. NCBI's taxonomy places the organism in Eukaryota, Viridiplantae, Streptophyta, Magnoliopsida, Ericales, Theaceae. The record is from RefSeq and is a predicted model, not a curated record.
UAAAAAAUAGCUUUUUUUUUAAGUUCAAGUGUGAAAUCUUGACUCACAAGUGAUGUAAAAUGGAGUUUUGACUCCUGAGUUUAAUUUGGAGAAGCAUUUGUUGAAUUUUAUUCAUUGAAUCUUAUUUCAUUUCUUCUUUGGUUUGCUUUUUCUUAUUUGAAUUUUUUUCCUGGCAAUUUUAUUUAGUAAAAAAAAGGAGUAAUAGUGAUGAGUGACUAGACCUUUCUUUUGUUAUUUUUUUUUCCUUAUUAAAUGCAUGUCUUCGAACUAGAUUUUCAAAAGACGAGUGAUCAAAACAAUAUUUGGUCAUUAUAUGUUUUGUGAAAGCAGGUUGAAGAGAAAUGGUAUGCAAGAAGAUAAAGAGUAUGAAUCAAAGAGCUUGUUGAAGGAGCACUAGAAGAGGCUCGCCAACAUCAAAUUGGGCAUUAAAUACAUAGAACUGCAUGCCAUUUCUUAGAUUUGCACACAUGUAAAUAUGCACAAGUGCCAUCUCACUACAAGAAAAUUGGCCUAUAACCACGUUUUUGUUACGGCGUUUUUUGAAAAACGCCGUUUCAAAGAUUUUUAAAAUACUUUGCAGAUAACUCAUUUUAAAAAACACGCGUCCUACUUACUAACAUAUAUCCCCUUUUUUAAGGCCCACGCUUUUUUCAUUUUGUUCAUUUCUCAGAGUCCCAAGAUAGAUCUAGGGUUCUAUCUCUUCAUCACUCCUCUUUCUUAUGGUGAAACUAGAUCGAGCAUCGUAGGCUCUGAUUUACGAUCUCUCUAUCCACCUCUCUCCAUCUUGGCUCAAAGCUCUCGAUCAGUCCGAUUUGAAGAUUAAUUUUGUGAUGUCAAGUUUAUUAUAUUUUUAUGGCAUGUCUGGUUUGCUAAAGGAGAUCCUGCUUCACCGGUACUUCAGCAAGUAACAUUGUGGAUGUGAACUCAUAUAAUGAGUUGAAAGAUGCAAUUAGUCGGGGGAAAUGGGCAAGGGGUCCCUGGUCUGCUAGUGACAAAGAUGAGUUGAGGGUGAAAGAAGAAACAGGGGCAACGAUCCGGUGUUUCCCUUUUGAACAGCCCGAAGGCAGAAGUAAGACAUGCUUGAUGACGGGCAAUCCAGCAGAGGAAGUUGCAAUUUUCGCCAACUCAUACUGAAUCUCCAGG